Molecule: unclassified non-coding RNA, 213 nt
Filed under: Glomeraceae sp.
Lineage: Eukaryota; Fungi; Glomeromycota; Glomeromycetes; Glomerales; Glomeraceae
Description: partial contains 5.8S ribosomal RNA and internal transcribed spacer 2
Rfam family: 5.8S ribosomal RNA (bases 1-65)
Source: RNAcentral
GUGAAUCAUCAAAUUUUUGAACGCAAAUUGCACUCUCCUCGGAGAGUAUGCCUGUUUGAGGGUCAGCCUAUAAAAAUCGACAUCGUUGCUGUUUCGCGGUGGCGUUCGUCGGAAAUUGGUCAUCUUAAAUCCUUUUGAUUUAAGCGACUUAAAAUUUUCUUUUGUUUCCUGGACGUUUUUUAGGUCCUUUUUUUUUAACGUUUUAGGUAUUGG